CACGUAGGGUGCGAGCGUUGUCCGGAAUUAUUGGGCGUAAAGAGCUCGUAGGCGGUGUGUCGCGUCGGCCGUGAAAACCUGCAGCUUAACUGUGGGCGUGCGGUCGAUACGGGCAGGCUGGAGUUCGGUAGGGGAGACUGGAAUUCCUGGUGUAGCGGUGAAAUGCGCAGAUAUCAGGAGGAACACCGGUGGCGAAGGCGGGUCUCUGGGCCGAUACUGACGCUGAGGAGCGAAAGCGUGGGGAGCGAACAGG
Molecule: ribosomal RNA, 253 nt
Filed under: uncultured bacterium
Lineage: Bacteria
Description: partial 16S ribosomal RNA
Rfam family: Bacterial small subunit ribosomal RNA
Source: RNAcentral